Molecule: ribosomal RNA, 892 nt
Filed under: uncultured bacterium
Lineage: Bacteria
Description: bacterial SSU rRNA
Rfam family: Bacterial small subunit ribosomal RNA
Source: RNAcentral
AGAGUUUGAUCCUGGCUCAGAAUCAACGCUGGCGGCGUGCCUAACACAUGCAAGUCGAACGAGAAAGGGACUUCGGUCCUGAGUACAGUGGCGCACGGGUGAGUAACACGUGACUAACCUACCCUGGAGUGGGGAAUAACUGAGGGAAACCUUAGCUAAUACCGCAUAAUACCUACGGGUCAAAGGAGCAAUUCGCUUCAGGAGGGGGUCGCGGCCGAUUAGUUAGUUGGCGGGGUAAUGGCCCACCAAGACAGUGAUCGGUAUCCGGCCCGAGAGGGCGCACGGACACACUGGAACUGAAACACGGUCCAGACUCCUACGGGAGGCAGCAGUGGGGAAUUUUGCGCAAUGGGGGAAACCCUGUCGCAGCAACGCCGCGUGGAGGAUGAAAUCCCUUGGGAUGUAAACUCCUUUCGAUCGGGACGAUUAUGACGGUACCGGAAGAAGAAGCCCCGGCUAACUUCGUGCCAGCAGCCGCGGUAAUACGAGGGGGGCAAGCGUUGUUCGGAAUUAUUGGGCGUAAAGGGUGUGUAGGCGGUUUGGUAAGUCGUGUGUGAAAUCUUCGGGCUCAACCCGAAGUCUGCACACGAAACUGCCGGGCUUGAGUAUGGGAGAGGUGAGUGGAAUUCCUGGUGUAGCGGUGAAAUGCGUAGAUAUCAGGAGGGACACCUGUGGCGAAAGCGGCUCACUGGACCAUUACUGACGCUGAAACACGAAAGCUAGGGGAGCAAACAGGAUUAGAUACCCUGGUAGUCCUAGCCCUAAACGAUGACUGCUUGGUGUGGCGGGUACCCAAUCCCGCCGUGCCGUAGCUAACGCGUUAAGCAGUCCGCCUGGGGAGUACGGUCGCAAGGCUGAAACUCAAAGGAAUUGACGGGGGCCCGCACAAGCG